This 421-nucleotide ribosomal RNA is filed under the name uncultured prokaryote. Its description in RNAcentral is "bacterial SSU rRNA". It matches the Rfam family "Bacterial small subunit ribosomal RNA", at positions 355 to 793 of the family's 1533-position model. The record is from RNAcentral.
UGGGGAAUAUUGGACAAUGGGCGCAAGCCUGAUCCAGCAAUGCCGCGUGAGUGAUGAAGGCCUUAGGGUUGUAAAGCUCUUUUACCAGGGAUGAUAAUGACAGUACCUGGAGAAUAAGCUCCGGCUAACUCCGUGCCAGCAGCCGCGGUAAUACGGAGGGAGCUAGCGUUGUUCGGAAUUACUGGGCGUAAAGCGCGCGUAGGCGGCUCACCAAGUCAGGGGUGAAAUCCCGGGGCUCAACCCCGGAACUGCCCUUGAAACUGGUAGGCUAGAAUCCUGGAGAGGCGAGUGGAAUUCCGAGUGUAGAGGUGAAAUUCGUAGAUAUUCGGAAGAACACCAGUGGCGAAGGCGACGGUCUGGCACAUUUCUGACGCUGAGGUGCGUAAGCGUGGGGAGCAAACAGGAUUAGAUACCCCGGUAG